AUUGGUCCAGGCGACAACAAAAUAUGUGAAGGCUUGUAUGAUGGGAUUGUGGGCAUGCGAGUUGGGCAAAUAAGAACAAUCGUCCUUCCACCGUCUUCAGAUUUGACUGGAGAACACAAUAAGAUGAUGAUGAAUAAGAAGCACUUCGAAGAACAUGGAAUUUAUGAUGUGUGCUUGGUCGAAAUCAUCGGAUGACCAACUUGAUCUGAAGACCAAAUAAGGGGUGUCGCGUGGCUUGUAUUUUUAGGUGUAAGAGGUUCUUCAGCUACUAGAUGUGAUGAAGGAUGAAGGACUUUAAUUUUUAGUUCACCCGUGGUUUUAGUAAGAGUCGUCUCAUUAAUUAUUAAUUAAGUGUGUUCGUAUUGAAUAAUGUAUAAUUAUUAUGCUUCUGUAAGAACACGUUUGAACUAAGUAAUAAUAAUUUUUGAUAUUUAAGAAAAAUAUAAA
Populus nigra (black poplar) is the source of this 447-nucleotide long non-coding RNA. RefSeq lists it as uncharacterized. The transcript is spliced from 4 exons. NCBI's taxonomy places the organism in Eukaryota, Viridiplantae, Streptophyta, Magnoliopsida, Malpighiales, Salicaceae. The record is from RefSeq and is a predicted model, not a curated record.